RNAcentral lists this ribosomal RNA (463 nucleotides) under uncultured bacterium. RNAcentral's name for it is "bacterial SSU rRNA". It matches the Rfam family "Bacterial small subunit ribosomal RNA", at positions 504 to 965 of the family's 1533-position model. The record is from RNAcentral.
UGUCCCAGCCGCCGCGGUAAUACGGGAGUGGCAAGCGUUAUCCGGAAUUAUUGGGCGUAAAGCGUCCGCAGGCGGUCUUGUAAGUCUGUCGUUAAAGCGUGGAGCUUAACUCCAUUUCAGCGAUGGAAACUGUAAGACUAGAGUGUGGUAGGGGCAGAGGGAAUUCCCGGUGUAGCGGUGAAAUGCGUAGAUAUCGGGAAGAACACCAGUGGCGAAGGCGCUCUGCUGGGCCAUAACUGACGCUCAUGGACGAAAGCCAGGGGAGCGAAAGGGAUUAGAUACCCCUGUAGUCCUGGCCGUAAACGAUGAACACUAGGUGUCGGGGGAAUCGACCCCCUCGGUGUCGUAGCCAACGCGUUAAGUGUUCCGCCUGGGGAGUACGCACGCAAGUGUGAAACUCAAAGGAAUUGACGGGGGCCCGCACAAGCGGUGGAGUAUGUGGUUUAAUUCGAUGCAACGCGAA